AUUAGAGUUUGAUCCUGGCUCAGAAUCAACGCUGGCGGCGUGCCUCAGACAUGCAAGUCGAACGCGAAACCGGCCUUCGGGCGGGGAGUAGAGUGGCGCACGGGUGAGUAACACGUGAGUAAUUUACCUUCGGGUGGGGAAUAGCUCGGGGAAACCCGGAUUAAUACCGCAUAAUGCAGCGGCACCAAAUGGUGACAGUUGUUAAAGCGGGGGAGCGACUUCGGUCGUCCUCGCGCCUGAAGAGGAGCUCGCGGCGGAUUAGCUAGUUGGUGGGGUAACGGCCCACCAAGGCAUCGAUCCGUAGCCGGCCUGAGAGGGCGGUCGGCCACACUGACACUGAAGAUACGGGUCAGACUCCUACGGGAGGCAGCAGUCGGGAAUUUUGGGCAAUGGGCGCAAGCCUGACCCAGCAACGCCGCGUGAAGGAUGAAGUUUUUCGGAAUGUAAACUUCACAAGACGGGGAAGAAUAAGUGGGGGCGAACAACCUCCAUGAUGACGGUACCCGUAGUAAGCAUCGGCUAACUCCGUGCCAGCAGCCGCGGUAAUACGGAGGAUGCAAGCGUUAUCCGGAAUUAUUGGGCGUAAAGCGUCCGCAGGUGGUGCUUCAAGUCUGCUGUUAAAGGCAGAAGCUUAACUUCUGAUAGGCAGUGGAAACUGAAGAACUAGAGGUCAGUAGGGGUAGCAGGAAUUCCCAGUGUAGCGGUGAAAUGCGUAGAGAUUGGGAAGAACAUCGGUGGCGAAAGCGUGCUACUGGGCUGAAUCUGACACUGAGGGACGAAAGCUAGGGGAGCAAAAGGGAUUAGAUACCCCUGUAGUCCUAGCCGUAAACGAUGGAAACUAGGCGUGGCUUGUAUCGACCCGAGCCGUGCCGAAGCUAACGCGUUAAGUUUCCCGCCUGGGGAGUACGCACGCAAGUGUGAAACUCAAAGGAAUUGACGGGGGCCCGCACAAGCGGUGGAGUAUGUGGUUUAAUUCGAUGCAACGCGAAGAACCUUACCAGGGCUUGACAUGUCGCGAACCCUAGUGAAAGCUGGGGGUGCCUUCGGGAGCGCGAACACAGGUGGUGCAUGGCUGUCGUCAGCUCGUGUCGUGAGAUGUUGGGUUAAGUCCCGCAACGAGCGCAACCCUCGUCCUUAGUUGCCAGCAAGUAAAGUUGGGCACUCUGAGGAGACUGCCGGUGACAAACCGGAGGAAGGUGGGGAUGACGUCAAGUCAGCAUGCCCCUUACGCCCUGGGCGACACACGUACUACAAUGGUUGAGACAAAGGGCAGCGAACUUGCAAAAGUCAGCGAAUCCCAUCAAACUCAGCCUCAGUUCAGAUUGCAGGCAAU
This 1333-nucleotide ribosomal RNA is filed under the name uncultured bacterium. Its description in RNAcentral is "partial 16S ribosomal RNA". It matches the Rfam family "Bacterial small subunit ribosomal RNA", at positions 1 to 1308 of the family's 1533-position model. The record is from RNAcentral.